Oncorhynchus tshawytscha (Chinook salmon) is the source of this 2274-nucleotide long non-coding RNA. The record is from Ensembl. NCBI's taxonomy places the organism in Eukaryota, Metazoa, Chordata, Actinopteri, Salmoniformes, Salmonidae.
GUGAUUUUCACUUUUAUUGAGUCAUUUUCUAUUAAGGUAUCUUUACAUUUACUCAAGUAUGACAAUUGGGUACUUUUUCCAAAACUGAAUAUUUUUGUGUUAUGAUACUCUGCUUUCACUUGGUUUGGUGACGUGUAAUUCCGACAUGGUGUGAUAAUUUGAACUAUCAAACCCAAUUUUGAACUUCAUCCAUCAUAGUUUUUCUUAAUCUGUUCCCUAGUCAUCUCUUCAUCUGUUCCCUAGUCAUCUCUUCAUCUGUUCCCUAGUCAUCUCUUAAUCUGUUUCCUAGUCAUCUCUUCAUCUGUUCCCUAGUCAUCUCUUCAUCUGUUCCCUAGUCAUCUCUUCAUCUGUUUCCUAGAAUAGUAUAGGCUAUGUGCUGUUGAUGGAGAUGAUGAAGAUAGAUCUGGAGAUUGAGGGGAUGCCUGUUCCCUUCUAGAAGAUUUAAAGAUAAGCAUAUAAAUGCAGUUGUGACAACCUCUCUUUCUCUUUCUCUCUCUCUCCCUCGCUUUCUCUCUCUUGCUCUCUUCCGCUCUCUCGCUCUCUCUCUCUAUCUUUCUCCCUCUUUCGCCCUCUUUUUCCCUCCUUCUCUACCUCUCUCUUCCUCUCUCUCCCUCUCUUUCUCCAUCUCUUUCUCAAAGCAAUUCAAUAAACUUUAUUGACAUGGAAAGUUAAAUCACUUACAUUGUCCAAGUAAACAUACUGUACAAUAAAUAUGGUUGAAUACGACCAUAAUAUCUCCCGCCCCCUCUCUCACUCCUGCUCCAAACACACUCUCUAAGAGAUCAGUUAUAUGUAGUAGAAAGAGCAGAUCCAAAGAUGACAUCCUCUCUCUCCCUCUCUCCCCCUCUCUCCUUAUACAAGCCACACUCUGAUAGGUGAAGGAUCCUGUGGGGUUGAUGAACUGGAGCCUGCAGUAGGUUCCCGGUUAGGGUUGAUGGGCUGCAGCCUGCAGUAGGUUCCCGGUUAGGGUUGAUGGACUGGAGCCUGCAGUAGGUUCCCGGUUAGGGUUGAUGGACUGCAGCCUGCAGUAGGUUCCCGGUUAGGGUUGAUGGACUGCAGCCUGCAGUAGGUCCCCGGUUAGGGUUGAUGGACUGCAGCCUGCAGGAGGUUACUGGUUAGGGUUGAUGGACUGCAGCAUGCAGGAGGUUACCGGUUAGGGUUGAUGGACUGCAGCCUACAGUAGUAGGUCCCCGGUUAGGAUUGAUGGACUGCAGCCUACAGUAGUAGGUUACCGGUUAGGGUUGAUGGACUGCAGCCUACAGUAGUAGGUUACCGGUUAGGGUUGAUGGACUGCAGCCUACAGUAGUAGGUUACCGGUUAGGGUUGAUGGACUGCAGCCUACAGUAGUAGGUUACCGGUUAGGGUUGAUGGACUGCAGCCUGCAGUAGGUCCCCGGUUAGGGUUGAUGGACUGCAGCCUGCAGUAGGUCCCCGGUUAGGGUUGAUGGACUGCAGCCUGCAGUAGGUCCCCGGUUAGGGUUGAUGGACUGCAGCCUGCAGUCGGGCCCUGGUUGGGGUUGAUGGGCUACAGCCUGCAGUCGGGCCCUGGUUGGGAUUGAUGGGCUACAGCCUGCAGUCGGGCCCUGGUUGGGAUUGAUGGGCUACAGCCUGCAGUAGGUCCCCGGUUAGGGUUGAUGGACUACAGCCUGCAGUAGGUCCCUGGUUAGGGUUGAUGGACUGCAGCCUGCAGUAGGUCCCUGGAUAGGGUUGAUGGGUUAUAGCCUGCAGUAGGUCCCUGGUUGGGGUUGAUGGGCUACAGCCUGCAGUAGGUCCCUCAUUGGGAUUGAUGGACUGCAGCCUGCAGUAGGUCCCUGGUUGGGAUUGAUGGGCUACAGCCUGCAGUAGAUCCCCGGUGGGGACCACAAACAGUAGGUAAUGGCCGGGCCACGGUGGGUGUUAAUUUGUUAUUGUAACUCAGCAGCUGUGCGGCAUGCUCCGAGAGCAGGUGGCAGCCUCCGCAGGGGUGGUUGAUGGGGGAGGAGAAGAGGGGGAGGGAGACAGGAGCAUGUGGCAUGUGUGUGUGGCGGGGGGGGGUAGCUCUCAGCAAGCAAAUUAUAUAUCCUGUUUCCAUGAGAAACAACAUAUGAGGGCCUGGAUGGGUUCCAAUACUAAUCAUUCCUUGCCUUCAAUAGGUUGUUGUGUUGCAGAGAGGCAAGAAAGCAACACCACUGUGUAGAUGGCACAAGGAUGAAUCAAAUAAAUAGAUGUGGAUGUGCUCUAGACCUACCUCUCUCUCUCUCUCAAAUAUAAAUUAUUAUUAUAUUAUCAAAUAGAA